Molecule: ribosomal RNA, 674 nt
Filed under: uncultured fungus
Lineage: Eukaryota; Fungi
Description: eukaryotic LSU rRNA
Rfam family: Eukaryotic large subunit ribosomal RNA
Source: RNAcentral
CCCGCUGAACUUAAGCAUAUCAAUAAGCGGAGGAAAAGAAACUAACAAGGAUUCCCCUAGUAACUGCGAGUGAAGCGGGAAAAGCUCAAAUUUAAAAUCUGGCGGUCUUGCGGCCGUCCGAGUAGUAAUCUGAAGAAGCGUUUAUGCGCGUCGGACCGUGUACAAGUCUUCUGGCACGGAGCGUCGUAGAGGGUGAGAAUCCCGUCUCUGACACGGACAGAGGAUGCAGCAUGUGAUACGCUCUCGAAGAGUCGAGUUGUUUGGGAAUGCAGCUCAAAAUAGGUGGUAAAUUCCAUAUAAAGCCACAUAUUGGCGAGAGACCGAUAUCGAACACGUACCGCGAGGGAAAGAUGAAAAGCGCUCAGGAAAGAGAGUUAAACAAUAUGUGACACUGUGGAAAGAGAAACGUUCGAAGUCAGUACAGCGUCGGACGAGACUCAACUCCACCUCAGGGCAGUGCGCAAUUAUCGGUCGACGCUUCAGCAUCAAUUUCGAUCGUCGGAUAAAGUUCGAGGGAACGUGGCACCCUCCAGGGUGUGCUAUAGCCAUCGGUCCCGCAUGCGACGGUCGGGAUUGAGGAACACGACACCCCCUCAUUGCUCGGCACUUCGUCUCACGCAAACGUGUCUAGGAUGCUGGCGUAAUGGCUUUAAGCGACCCGUCUUGAAACACGG